CCUACGGGAGGCUGCAGUGGGGAAUAUUGCACAAUGGGCGAAAGCCUGAUGCAGCAACGCCGCGUGAAGGAAGAAGGGUUUCGGCUCGUAAACUUCUAUCAACAGGGACGAAAGAAAUGACGGUACCGGAAUAAGAAGCACCGGCUAACGACGGGCCAGCAGCCGCGGUAAUACGUAGGGGGCAAGCGUUAGCCGGAUUUACGGGGUGUACAGGGAGCGGAGACGGCGUGCCAAGUCUGAUGUGAAAGGCCGGGGCUCAACCCCGGGACGGCAUUGGAAACGGGCAUGCUGGAGUGCCGGGGUGGCAAGCGGACUUCCUCGUGUAGCGGUGACAUGCGUAGAUAUUAGGAGGAACACCGGUGGCGAAGGCGGCUUGCUGGACGGUACCUGACGUUGCGGCUCGACAGCGUGGGGAGCACACAGGAUUAGAUACCCGGGUAGUC
RNAcentral lists this ribosomal RNA (443 nucleotides) under uncultured bacterium. Its description in RNAcentral is "partial 16S ribosomal RNA". It matches the Rfam family "Bacterial small subunit ribosomal RNA", at positions 338 to 795 of the family's 1533-position model. The record is from RNAcentral.